RNAcentral lists this small nucleolar RNA (83 nucleotides) under Carlito syrichta (Philippine tarsier). RNAcentral's name for it is "Small nucleolar RNA SNORD115 (ENSTSYG00000025269.2)". Lineage: Eukaryota; Metazoa; Chordata; Mammalia; Primates; Tarsiidae. The record is from RNAcentral.
GGGUCAAUGAUCAAAUCUUUCCUUGAUUCUAGAGAUGGGCUGUCUUAAAAGUCAUGGUCAAUAUAGUUAUGCUUAGGACGCUC